RNAcentral lists this unclassified non-coding RNA (206 nucleotides) under Hevea brasiliensis (rubber tree). Lineage: Eukaryota; Viridiplantae; Streptophyta; Magnoliopsida; Malpighiales; Euphorbiaceae. The record is from RNAcentral.
AGCUGCUGCUCUGCCUCUCACUUUCCUCGCCCUCCGCCUCUCCCUGCUCACAACAAGUCUCCUUUCAUUUCCCUGCUCUCUUUCUUGGCUGCCUCGCUUGUUGUUUCCUUCGAGUUCUUCAAUGCUGGAUCUCGUAAAAUCCGUCUGCAUGAUACGAGAGGGGAUUUUCUUUUGAGUACUGUUUCGUAAUCUCGGAAAAAUUUGGC